This 249-nucleotide ribosomal RNA is filed under the name uncultured bacterium. RNAcentral's name for it is "partial 16S ribosomal RNA". The record is from RNAcentral.
CUGCUGCCUCCCGUAGGAGUCUGGUCCGUGUCUCAGUACCAGUGUGGGGGACCUUCCUCUCAGAACCCCUACGCAUCGUCGUCUUGGUGGUCCGUUACACCGCCAACUAACUAAUGCGACGCAUGCCCAUCCGCCACCGGAAUUAACCUUUGGCACCAACAGGAUGUCCCGUCGAUGCAUUAUGCCGUAUUAGACGGAAUUUCUCCCGAUUAUCCGGCUGUGGCAGGCAGGUUGCAUACGUGUUACUCA